UACAGAGGGUGCGAGCGUUGUCCGGAAUCACUGGGCGUAAAGGGCGCGUAGGCGGCUUGAUAAGGUUGCGGUGAAAGCCCGGGGCUCAACCCCGGGUCGGCCGUGGCAACUGUCGAGCUGGAGCACUGUAGAGGCAGGUGGAAUUCCGGGUGUAGCGGUGGAAUGCGUAGAGAUCCGGAAGAACACCGGUGGCGAAAGCGCUCUGCUAGGCCGCAACUGACACUCAUGGACGAAAGCUAGGGGAGCGAAUGGG
This 253-nucleotide ribosomal RNA is filed under the name uncultured bacterium. RNAcentral describes it as "partial 16S ribosomal RNA". It matches the Rfam family "Bacterial small subunit ribosomal RNA", at positions 524 to 776 of the family's 1533-position model. The record is from RNAcentral.